CAACCCGUUCACCUUUCGUUUCCCGGUUGCGGCAAAAUGUUCGGCAGCCUGGGAAUUCAUCCAUAAACACAGCUUGUCAAUCACUUCUUCAUCAAAAUAAUGACAAAAAGCCUUGUGCGGGCAAGUAAACUGAGCCACAUGAGAGGACAAUGAUGGGUGAGCAUCACCAAACGAUGGUACGGGGUCAGGCCGGGUAUCACUGAAAGGGUCAGACAUGAGGCGCCAGACUUGUUCCUCCACUGGCUCCACAGUGUCUGAAAACUCCUCAUCACUGUCAUCUACUAAGUCACUAUCACCACUUUCUGAGGUAUCAUCACUAUACUCUUCAGUAGAAGCACCUGGCAGAUAUUUAGAGCCAGACUCGGAACUACUGCUGACCGACAUAGUGGUGAUAACGGUGGUUGCAACGAUUGCAGCGAAUCCAAGAUGGCCAGGCUAGGGACACUGUGAUAUAAUCCUUCUCUUAUGAAGAUUCAAAAAAUCACCCUGCGUCUCAUACCCCGAUGGUUAGGUUUUGGUAUGCCCAGAGGAUAUUGUUACUGGUACGAAAACAACAUUUAAAACACCUCCGUUUGACACAACAGUUCCCUGUGGUUAUAAAUAGAUACUUCAAGUAGGCUAAUUGGUAGUUUAGGCUCAACUGUUUGGUCGUUCGAGACAGAUGGAUUCAGCAAAGCGGAGCAGUUGGCGAAGCAAUUGAAAUGACGAGGGAGCCAAUUUCGGCAACGCUCGCAUAGUCAGCUGUUGGCGUGGGACGGGAUGGGAGGUGUGCUGGGCGUCGAUGGAGUCUACGUGGUGACUUGGGGUCGUGGCAGUGGAUUGGUUGGCUCUCGGCGAUGGUGUGAUGGUUUUGCUGUUUGGGCUGUUGGCUGCGUUGUUGUGUUCCCUGUCUAGUCCUGGAGGUUGGCCGGUUCACUGUGGGGUUGCCGAGCGCCUGGUUAAUACUGGUUGGUUGUUUUCCAUUCGUACUGACUCGCUCUGUGUCAUCAAAGGUGACCGCCCUUACGGAGGUGAGUUACACGUUGUGUUUUUCUUUGUUGUAGUUUAUGUGACCACAUUCCCAGAUGUCCCCAGAAUGAAAUAUACCGUAUUUUGCGGAGUGUAACAUGCACUUUUUUCACUCAGAAUAUGCCAAAAAACAAAUAACUGAACCAUCCAAGUGUAAAAAAAGUACCAAGGAGGUCCUAAAAAGCACUGCAAAGCAGAACAGGUCACAAGAAAAAGAAGAGUGAUUGUUGAUAUCCUAGUUAUAUAUAUACGUACGUCAUCAUUUGCUUUCUUAAUAAUAUAAGUAAACUUGGGUGGGACAGAUCCUGACAAGCAGUUGACAAAAGACACGGUACCGUGUUGAAAUUCAUAUAUGUAUUCAGGAUGGGAUGUCUCACGAUCUUGGGAUGUCUCAUGACACCACACCGGUAGGCUUUCUUCUGGGGCCAGAUGGUCGGCCCCAAGCCCGUCAUGGCGCAGGCAAUUUUUAUAGUGGCGCCAGUUAUGCUUGGCUCAUGCUGCUCCCCGGAACUCAUUCUUAAUUCACUGGACGGUUUCUUCUAAAGUCCGGGUGUAUGGGUGGUCUUCUGGACAGCAUGUGUGUAGUCUUAGGCCACUCGGCGGCGACUGAAAAAUCCCAGGUUGCAGCGUGGGUAUUCGAACCAACGUUGUCCAUGGCGUGGUGAAUGUGAGCCCAGCACACUAACCACUCAGCCACCGCCUACCCGACUAUGAAAUGUAUAACUGUUCUUUCUUUAUAUGUGUAUGUGGUAAUGAAUAUGCUUUCUCUGAUGUUUGCAUUUUUCAUUUGUUUGAGGCAAAACAGUAUCAAGUGAGACAGAAGUUGAAUAUUUAACUAAAUAACCAGGAGCACACGCCCAACGGUGCAUCAGUUCACUCACUCGCUGCCUCCACCCGAGCUAGUAGUAAUAUUUUGACAUUUUUUCAGUGAAAGUUUUUGGUAAGUUCAAGAAUAGAUAUAACAUGGGCACAGGGAGAAAUAUAACGUGUGAUUUUUUGUAGAUGAAAGGAUCUGGUAUCUCUUAUGAGCUGCCUCACUAUCUUUGAUAGCAUAUAAAGAAGCAAGAAUGAACCACGUGAGCAUGAGAAGUAAAAAAAUAACAUGGUAUAUUUGCCUCCAUCCCAGAGACAAUCACCUCUUUAAUGGACUAGGAACACACAGAGAAGCCUAUGGCCUGAAAACAGUUAUCAUUUCAUGGUAUAUCUGGGACACCUGAAAAGUACAUCCUCAGGUUUUCCUACCAAGCUGAAGCAUAAUGCAUACCAGAGGAACUGUUUCCAGAGGAUCCAGAGGCUGUACAAGAGAGAAAUGUCAGAAUACUCUAGAACCAGCAUGAGCCAAGUAGGAAUGGCACCACUAUAAAACAAAUACUUGCCAGCACCAUUAACAAGCUGGGGCCAACCACUAGAUCCACUCAAGAAAACCUAACAACACUAUGGGCUGCACAUAAAAAAGCAGCCUCAAUCAAAACCUGUGUAUUAAAGCAAAAAUCCAUGGAUGUUACUUAAGUUAUCCCUUUCAUGGCUAAACACUCGAAGCGAGCGUUAGGCGUAUUUACUGGUGGUGCUAAACGCUCGCUGCGAGCUCCAUCCGCACUCAAAUCUCCCGCGUAUGAGAGUGUUCCAACACUAUUUCUCACAACACAGGAUUGCCAAUUGAGUGGGUUUUUCACUAAAUUUGGUGGAAAAUCAUGUCAGCCCAGCGCGGAAAAUCUACAGACGAGCAACUGGUGGAUGUUGUUGUGCAAUAUAGCGACAUUUUUGCAAGCUGCACCUAUCACAUGACUGAUAUUUUGACCAAAUAGUUGUAAAUUUUGCAAUUGGCAAUACCGCCCUGCCAGCACCCCAUCAUCAAGAGAUCUACAGUAGUUGCCUUACGGCUGACCAUCGCGCACGUAUAAAUGUACAUCUUCACAGGCAACACCCCCUGAACAUGCCUGUACUUUCGCAGGAGAGGCUUACAUAACCGAAUCUUAUACAGCACCCUCUCAAGUUUCGCGAUCCUCGAGUUUAGCGCUUAGUCCUAAAUUCUUACCAUCAUUGGGUAGGCGGUGGCCGAACUGGUAGCGUACUGGGCCCACAUUCACCGUGUGAUGGAUGACGCGGGUUCGAAUCCCCACACUACUACUCGGAUUUUCCAGUCACCGCCGAGUGGCUUAAAACUACCCACAUGCUGUCCUGAAGACCACCCAUCAACCCGGACUCUAGAGGAAGCCGUCCAAGCGAAUCAAGAACGAGUUCCGGGGGGCAGCAUGAGCCAAUGCAAGAUGGCGCCACUAUAAACACUCGCCUGCGCCAGAACGGGCUGGGCCGACCAUCAGGACCCACCUGGAAGAAGCCUUGGGCCGACCAUCAGGCCCCACCAGGAAGAUGCCUACCGGCGCAACAGGCAACGACGUAAAAAAAAAAAAAAAAAAAAAUCACGAGUUUCGUGCAUUACCGCCACAAGUUUCGCGUUGCUUUGACAUGUACGGGUCACGUCUACCUACCGUCGGCGUCAUGCGUGCUGCCUUAAAAGGCGGUGUCCAACCAGGAGCAAGUUGUUGGUUGUCCUUAUGGAUGGAAAACGAUGUUGAGUACGAGCGUGGGUACGUAUGUACCAAGGAGACUAUAGAACAGGAGAGGGGGCCUCUAUGGGAGACCGUGGGCGGGUGGUGGUGUAUGUCGGUUGCAACAGAUGGCGCAGGAGCAGCUUUGUUUACAUCCAGGCGCCUCCCCCCCCUCUAGACCGACCCCCAACCCCCAGUACCCAUCAGCAGUAUUGCUACAUGGGAUCAAGCAGCAAAUGUUGCUACUUUUUUUUCUUAAGUCCAGUUAUUUCCCAUUUUAAAUAAAAAAUAAAGGUAGAUAAAUAUUAAAAUGAACAGUAGGAACUAUAUAUAUAUUUACUAGGUAGAUAUAGCCUGACUGCAUGUCAUGAGUAAUGCUAUUAUUGUUAUAUUAUUAUACCGCAAUUAUAUUACUUUCUCUGCAUGUGUGGGAGGCUACCAGUGGUUAGAUGUGUUUUAUGUGUUUAACCUUUCUGUAUACAUACUGGAAUGAAUCAAGGUUGUAGCCCUACUGCUGUUCUUUAAAAACUAUGUGAUCAUGUUUUUCUUCCAAACUCAUUGUUUUAGCACGCACACUGACUUCCAUCAGUAAUGAUUUACAGUGAAUCAUUGGUUUGUAGGGGGAAAGAGUGGGUGAAUAUAAUUAUCUUGGUCUAACUUAUACUGUUUAUUAUACCGCUAUUCGCAGCAAUACCUUUCUCUGCUCCGAUUGCAACGCUGCCUCAUUCAAAAAUCAUAACACCGCCGCGGCCGCCACGUUUACCAGCCGGAGCCUCAAAUCAUGUCCCUUUGUGGUGAUAAAGAGGACACAGCCUGGUGUGAAGCUACAUUUAUUAUGGAAGAAUGCCAGCCGGGGUACGUGAUAUAUAUAUAUAAAUAAUGAUACUGUGGAAAUUCUAAUCAUUUUCAUGCUGACAGCUGUUCUGAACUUGCUAACUGCAUGCCUCCCCUCCUCCCGCGGCAAGAGUGCAGUAUUCUGAGUGUAGGUAGGAACAACCCCUCACAUAACUAUUGCUUAAAUGACACUCUCAUAAGUAGGUCUGGGUGCGAGAGGGAUUUAGGGGUCUUAGUGAGCUCUGAUCUCCGUCCAAGGGCACAAUGCAUUCAAGCUAGAAAUCGAGCUAAUAGGGUACUGGGAUUUAUUUCAAGGAGCGUAAGCAACAGAAGCCCUGAAGUCUUCCUCAAACUAUAUUUAGCAUUAGUUAGACCUCAUCUUGACUAUGCGGUUCAGUUCUGGUCACCCUACUAUAGAAUGGAUAUCAAAAUGUUAGAAUCGGUGCAGAGGAGGAUGACUAAGAUGAUUCAGGGGUUGAGAAACUUGCCAUACGAGGAAAGACUCAAACAGUUAAACUUGCAUUCUCUAGAAAGGCGAAGGGUGCAUGGAGACAUGAUCGAGGUUUAUAAAUGGAUGAAGGGCUUUAAUAAGGGAGACAUUCAUAAGGUUUUGUUGGUAAGAGAACCGGGUAGGACACGAAGUAAUGGGUUUAAACUGGAUAAAUUCAGAUUCAACAGGGACAUAGGCAAAAAUUGGUUUACUAACAGGGUGGUGGAUGAGUGGAAUAGGCUUAGCAGUCAUGUGGUGAGUGCCAAUACAAUUGUCACAUUCAAAAAUAGACUAGAUAAAUUCAUGGACAGCGAUAUUAGGUGGGAUUAGAUACACGGGAGCUUAGGGUCAAAGGAGCUGCCUCGUACAGGCCUACCGGCCUCUUGCAGACUCCUGCGUUCUUAUGUUCUUAUGUAAGAGGCCGAAUGGCCUACACACGACAGCUCCAGAUUCCUCCCCAUUACCACCUGUCAGCCUCAUCCAUGUAGCUAUCCAGUCUACUCUAAAAACAAGCUAUUGUCCCUGCACUCACUAUGUGAUUGCUGAGUCUGUUCCAUUCCCCCACCACCCUACUACUAAACCAAUGCCUGCCCAUUUCCCUCCUAAAUCUAUACUUUUCUAAUUUAAGUCAAUUACUGCAUGUUCUAUCUUGCCAAACAUCUUAUGCAAAAGUUAACCAGCAUCUUCACUCUUUCAUCCCUUACACUGAUAAACUCUGGAACAGCCUUCCAUCGUCUGCAUUUCCUCCUGCCUAUAAUUUGACCUUCAAGAAGAGUGUAUCAAGACUCUACUUUUGUCUGUUUGGGAGUGGUGAGUAGUGGGGCUUUUUUUUCUAGUAUGCUUUGUUGCCCUUCAGCUGUCUCCUUUGUUUAAAGAAAAUAACAAUUAAAUAAAUAGAGGUUGGCCGCCAAUGCUUCCAACGCAUUUUUGUGCCAUAUCUACAAGUGGCUGGUGACUGUAAGUAUCUCAGCAACCUGCAUGCAUUUAUGCCAUUCCUAUCACGGUGCAUGGAGCAAGCUUCACAUAACACUCAGACAGAGACAGUUUAAUUAUGGUUACAUAUCAGACUCAGUUUAUUGCUCAGUCUAUUAGGUGCAGUGCUGUUAAUAUUGUUAGUGGUAGUAUUAGUACAAUUAAUGUAUUUAUUUUCAUUAAUUUAUCAAUAUUUAUUUAUUAUAUUCUUAGUGUUUGAAAAUUCCAAUACUAGUAUUAAGAUAAAAAAAAAUAUCAAAAAUAUAUUUACUCAUUAAUUAUUAUUGCUUUUCUUAUUAUUACUUCCUUCAAUGUCCUGGCACUUUGACAUCUAGUGCUUUUCCGUCUAGCAGCCAAAAUUGUGGUCUUUCUGAAUGUGUAUGUCCUAAGUCUUCAUUGGUGUAACUAGCUAUAUAACAUACAAAUCUGCAUCUCUCUCCCUUCUCACCCAGUUGUCCCCGCACAUCCUUUCAGUAUCCAAAGAAUUUCAAUUUACAUCUUGUAAUCACUCAACUAAUGCAGUGCAAUCCUCAUCUCUGUAUUUUACUGUGUGGACAUACUCUUCCCUUCCAUGUUCCACUGUUGUAUGAUAUUCCACAUCUAACACAACCACAUCCCAACAGAUCUGAACACGUCCGAUAUCAUCCAAGAGAAUGUGGCAGCUGAAGGGGAGAGUCCAAGAAAGAGGCAAAGGGUGAAGAAAUUUAGCCACCCCCUGAAGUACAUGGCACCAUCCAACCCUCUUGGUUAGCUGCAGGACUGUGCUUCCCAUUGCAGUGCACCAGCUCCAUGUACUGAUUUUGGGUGUGAACUUGAUGGGGUUGGAGGAAACUCGACUCGGCCAUCAAGCUCACCACAAUAUAACAUGAAAAGUGAAAAUUGCUGCACACAACAGUCUGCCGUCUGCGCCGGGAGGCAAGGCAGCUCAAAGCCCAGGCUGUUACAACUCCUGGGCAGUUUUAGCCCAGAGCCAGCAAUUUUUUAGAUCCAAUAGGGAUGGAUUUUUUCUGAGGUCAGGUUUAACAUGCUGCAAGAUGCCAAGAUCUAAGCCUAGUAGGAGAUAUGGGUUACAAGAGAGGAGGUUUGCUCUGGCCUUAUACUAUCAAAGUCCAAAUGCUACUAGAUUUCUAAGCACAGUAUUCCACUUGCCUUCAGUUUCAACACUUCACUCAUGACUCAGGGGUAUUUCAGUAAAUGUUGGCUGGAGCAAACAGACUGUGACAGCCCUGCAGCAAAGAGCUCAGGCUUUGUCAAAAGAAGAGAAACUUCGUGGGAUUUGCCAUUAUUUAGUAUUAUUCUUGUUACGCCAAGAAUUUUUUUCCAUAUACUUUGACAAAUAUUGCAAGUAAUGCACCAUUGUUGGGCUUGCCUGUUAUAAAUCAAAUCUUGUUCAAUUAACAAGCUUUGGGUGUCUGCCACUUUCCAGUUGUAAUGCAAGGAAUCAUUUAUCUCCCCUGCUAGAUAUCACAUGUAAUGCACCAUUGUUGGUUUUGCCUGUUGUAAAUCAGAUCUUGUUCAGUUAACAAGCUUUAGGUGUCUGCCACUUUCCAAUUGUAAUGCAAGGAAUCCCCUGCCAGAUAUCGCAUGUAAUGCACCAUUGUUGGUUUUGCUUGUUAUAAAUCAGAUCUUGUUCAGCUCACAAGUUUUGAAUAUCUGCCAUUGUUUAUUUCAGGUGUAAUGCUUGGAAGCAUUUGUUCUCUUCCCUACCCAACAGUAUGCAAUGCUUUAUUGUGGAUUUUGCCUGUUAUAUUUAAUCUUGUUCAGGUAACAAGCUUUUGGUGUCUGCCUUACCUAACAUGUGCUGCAGUGACACUUGGCUUGGUUUCAUAAUGUGAAAUACAGCAUGUAAUUUCAUCACACUAAGUGUCUAUCAUCACGUGUCUGGCAUCAUUAAUGUGGCUUCCAGGAGUAAUCUUGUUUGUAUUACAGUAAGCAAUUUUUUGUGCUUUAUAUGAUAUAAAUAAUCACAUAGGUAUGAUUUUUUUUUUUUUUUGACAAAAUGUAAUGGCAGUUGCUAUUCUUGACUAAUGCCUCAUACACCUUGUGAAAAAUAAUGCUUUUUUGAAGGGAGGGGGGGAGGGGGGGACAGAGAGUGGUUUGUUUGGUUGGCCAGUUCAAGGAGUUUCAUAUCAAAUGAUUUUAUUACAUCCAACUUUAAUGUGUGCUAAAAACAUAUAUUUUAUUACAUCCAACUUUAAUGUGUGGUUCCUGCAAUAAAUGCUACAUGUUUACUGAUGUAGCCUAUGAAAUACAUAUCACUCUCUGCCCUGUGAUUUGGUGCCACAUACUGCAGCAUAACUUUCCUGCUAUCUUCUACACUAUGAGUUGCCUUAUUUUGUCUCAUUUGCUUUUAUCAUAUGUGCCUCCACUGCAUAGUUGUGCCUACUGUGCUUAAUAUCUUCAUGACCCUGACACCAAGGUCAGAGCUUGUGAGAUCAUACUGUGUCCUACAUCCCAUUUUCACCUCCAGGCUCGGCUGUCUCCCAGGACCACCAAGUUAUUGCAUUCCAUUUAAGACAACUCAUGUGUUACCUUCUUGAUGUCCUCCAUCAUGUAUUUCAGCAUGUUUUAUGAUGCUUUGCUCUUAUAUUGAUGUGCCUUGCAACAUUUUUAUACAGUUUUCAUUGUAUAUAACACACCAUUGUUGGUUUUGCCUGUUAUAAAUUGGGUCAUGUUCAGUCAACAAGCUUUGAGUGUCUCCCAUUGUUUAUUUCAGUUGUAAUGCUUAGAAGCUUUUGUUCUCUGCCCUGUCAAGCAGUAUGCAAUGCUUGCCAUUAUCUGGCACUUGUACAGUUAGUAUGAUAUUUUUAUUCAGUUAAGAGCAUUUUGCAAAAGGUAAAGGUACGGUUGGGGGCAUACGCUGUAGCAGCGCGUGGCCUUGGUGCUCAUCUCUGUAACAUUGGCCCUUGAGCCUGUGGUGUUAGGGAACCCAUUACCCUGGGACACAGGACCAGUGUGACAUCCGGGUUACCACAGUUGCAAAGGCAUUAUAGUAAUCUAGCAUGCAUAGAAUGUUGUAUGCUUUGCUUGUAUUUAAAGCACUGGAUAUGUUUGCUACACUCACACACACAC
Long non-coding RNA from Eriocheir sinensis (Chinese mitten crab), 8925 nucleotides. RefSeq lists it as uncharacterized. The record is from RefSeq and is a predicted model, not a curated record. The transcript has 3 exons. Lineage: Eukaryota; Metazoa; Arthropoda; Malacostraca; Decapoda; Varunidae.